UUACGGUCACACCAUAUUGAAACACCUGUUCCCGUACGAUCACCGAAGUUAAGCAACGUCGAACCUCGCCGGUACGUUGAUGUGUGACUUCUUGGGAUUGCCAGGUGCUGCAG
Non-coding RNA from Acanthosepion pharaonis, 113 nucleotides. Lineage: Eukaryota; Metazoa; Mollusca; Cephalopoda; Sepiida; Sepiidae. The record is from the annotation of a GenBank genome assembly.